GUUUUAGUAAUUUAAAAUAAAAUAACGGUCUUGUAAACCGUAAAUAAGAUUAACUCUUUUAAAACU
Molecule: transfer RNA, 66 nt
Filed under: Clinterocera nigra
Lineage: Eukaryota; Metazoa; Arthropoda; Insecta; Coleoptera; Scarabaeidae
Description: tRNA-Thr
Rfam family: tRNA
About the family: Transfer RNA (tRNA) molecules are approximately 80 nucleotides in length. Their secondary structure includes four short double-helical elements and three loops (D, anti-codon, and T loops).
Source: RNAcentral